GACGAACGCUGGCGGCGUGCCUAAUACAUGCAAGUCGAACGCACUCUCGUUUAGAUUGAAGGAGCUUGCUCCUGAUUGAUAAACAUUUGAGUGAGUGGCGGACGGGUGAGUAACACGUGGGUAACCUGCCCUAAAGUGGGGGAUAACAUUUGGAAACAGAUGCUAAUACCGCAUAAAACCUAACACCGCAUGGUGUAGGGUUGAAAGAUGGUUUCGGCUAUCACUUUAGGAUGGACCCGCGGUGCAUUAGUUAGUUGGUGAGGUAAAGGCUCACCAAGACCGUGAUGCAUAGCCGACCUGAGAGGGUAAUCGGCCACACUGGGACUGAGACACGGCCCAGACUCCUACGGGAGGCAGCAGUAGGGAAUCUUCCACAAUGGACGAAAGUCUGAUGGAGCAACGCCGCGUGAGUGAAGAAGGUUUUCGGAUCGUAAAACUCUAGUUGUUGGAGAAGAAUGUAUCUGAUAGUAACUGAUCAGGUAGUGACGGUAUCCAACCAGAAA
RNAcentral lists this ribosomal RNA (503 nucleotides) under uncultured bacterium. Its description in RNAcentral is "bacterial SSU rRNA". It matches the Rfam family "Bacterial small subunit ribosomal RNA", at positions 28 to 489 of the family's 1533-position model. The record is from RNAcentral.